UAGGCUCCCAAAGGCACGUG
Molecule: small nuclear RNA, 20 nt
Filed under: Arabidopsis thaliana (thale cress)
Lineage: Eukaryota; Viridiplantae; Streptophyta; Magnoliopsida; Brassicales; Brassicaceae
Description: snRNA_16058
Source: RNAcentral